GCCGAGUUGGUCAGCCGGAAGGAGGCAACCAUGCUUUUUGCUCAAGAGCGUGGGGAGGGUUUGAGUGCCUUGCUCGGCA
This 79-nucleotide transfer RNA is filed under the name Deltaproteobacteria bacterium. Its description in RNAcentral is "tRNA-OTHER". The record is from RNAcentral. Lineage: Bacteria; Pseudomonadati; Myxococcota; Myxococcia. RNAcentral also lists the same sequence under 1 other name.